AAGAAAGGCAGUGAUAGUAUUUUAGGCACUUAGGAAAUGCAUUUUCUCCUUUUUUUUUCUCCAUGGGAGUAGAGUUCACCAUACUAAGCCUCUCCUUUCACCUCCUCAAUCUAUGGCUAAGGCCCGUUCCUUCCAGUGGACGUUCUUCCUUCCAAAAAUUCAGCAAGCUCCGCUAAGACUCCCCGGCUCUCAGAAGCCGGUUCAAAAAGUCAGAGCUGAGACUCCACACAGAGGCCAAGCCCAGCACUGCAGGCCCUUUGGAAGAAACAGGGUCAGCCCGAAGAAAGAACUUCACCACUGCCACCCCCUCCCCAAAGCCCCGAAACAAAACCUUGCAAUGGAAAAUUACCAGGAAUGUCCAAACAAAGCAAGAUGGGGGAAAGCUCCGGCCCAGACUGGCGGGAUCUCGGCGGCCAGGGAGCCCCGGCGUGGUGUUCUUUAAAACCAGUGACGGAGCAGACCGUUAAAGAAGGGAAAUCAAGUCUGGGCAGGUGGACUCGCGGGGCAGCAGAUGGGCCCAGGUCCAAUUCAAUGGCUACACCUUGGCAGCAGUUCCUUCUCCAGGCCAUAAGUGAUCUCUUCCUGUCCCAGUCUCUCAUAACAGAUGAGGAAAAUGAGGAAUAAAGAAGCAAAAUGAUUUUCUGAAGAUUUUCAAGUUCAGAAGCAUUUCAUGGAAGCUUGGGAAAAUAUAAGCCAUAUUAAAGUGCUUUAUACAGUGGUGUACAAACUUAGGUAUCUUAUAAUCUGAUAAGGUGGUACAAGCUUAAAAUUAUGAAAAAUUUAUGAAGGAUCUGGGUACAGUUUUAGAUUUAGAUUUAGAGGUAGAGAUCAAUUUUGAGGUUAGCUAGUCCAACCUUCUCAUCUCAUUUGACAUGUCAGGAAAUGGAGGCCCAGAAAUAUCCAAUGGACUUGUUCUGGUCACAAAUGUGUAAGCAGAAGACAUACUGAUUCUCUGCCCUCUAACUCCCAAUCUAGGAUUCUUUUGCUCUUCUUUAGAGGCCUGUGCAUCCAUGCUUUGUGUGUGGGCAAAUUUAGGGAAAUCUGGGCCUGGUCCAAGGCCAGACUUAUUUGACUUUGGACUUUAAAUCAUCUGUUCAAUUCAGUUCAGUUCUUACUGAAUACCUAAAAUGUGGCAAACCAAGACAUUGGAUUAGAAAAGCAAUUUAUAACAUUAUCCUUUUUCCACAGGAAUCUAAUCUUUAUAUGAGGAGACAAUAUGGAAAAAGGGAAAGAACACUGAACUUGGUAUAUAAGAUUUGAUUCAGGAAUCCUUAAUCUGGAAUCUGUGAACUUUAUUUUUAAGAGAAAGGAGGGAGGCAGGGAGAGAGGGAAGGAGGAAGGGAAACAGAGACAGAGAAAGAGACAGAGAAAGGGCAGGGAGAGGGAGAGACAGAAAGAGAAAGACAGACAGAGACAGAGACAAACAAACAGAGAGGAAGAGAGAGACAGGAAGGGGAGAGAGACAGAGAUGCAGGCACAGACAGACAGAGGGACAGAGACAGAGACAGAGACAGAGACAAAUAAACAGAGAGGAAGAGAGAGACAGGGAGGGGAGAGAGACAGAUACAGGCACAGACAGACAGACAGGACAGAGAGAGAGAGAGAGAGAGACAGAGGGAGACAGAGACAGAGACAGAGAGACAGAGAAACAGAGAGACAGAAAGAGACAGAGAGAUAGGGAGACAGAGAGAGAAAGAGGGAGAGAGAGAAAAAGAAAGACAGACAGAGACAGAGAGGAAGAAAGGGAGAGACAGACAAAGAAAUGGAAGGAGAGGGAAGGAAGAAGACAAUACAGAUUUCAAUAUAAAUGAUUUUCUUUGUAAUCCUCUGUCUGCCUCAGUUUUCUCAUCUAUAAUUAUGAAGGUAAUAAUAGCACCUACCUUUUAGGAUUUUUGUGAAAAUAAAAUAAAAUCAUAUUUGUAGAAAAAUUUGUAAAUCUUAAAGUAUUGUAUGCAGCUAGACAAUGCAAUGGAU
Long non-coding RNA from Antechinus flavipes (yellow-footed antechinus), 1974 nucleotides. RefSeq lists it as uncharacterized. Lineage: Eukaryota; Metazoa; Chordata; Mammalia; Dasyuromorphia; Dasyuridae. The transcript is spliced from 3 exons. The record is from RefSeq and is a predicted model, not a curated record.